RNAcentral lists this long non-coding RNA (788 nucleotides) under Rattus norvegicus (Norway rat). RNAcentral's name for it is "long non-coding RNA NONRATT032897". Lineage: Eukaryota; Metazoa; Chordata; Mammalia; Rodentia; Muridae. The record is from RNAcentral.
CUUGAUUUUUGUGGAACAAUUUGUGAAAGCAGGCUAAGUCCCAGUGGUUAAGCCAUGGGGAUAUGGAUGGUCUCAGUUCUCACAUUCAACUUAUUAUUAUUCUUUAAAGCUGCCUGAGAACUCUAUACUGUUCCCAUGGAAACAGAACUUUACUUCCUCCCACCGAUGACACCGCACUUGGGCUAUCAAACUGUACUUUUUUUCUUCCUCCCACCACUCUUAAGGAGACAGCUGGGAAAUCAUCUCUGCUGGAGAACUCUUCAGACUAUGCAGAGAUUCUGUCUCUAUCCUGGAUGGUAAUCAAUGAAAAAGGAAGAGAAACACUCGUACGAAGCCCUUCGCCUACAAAGUCCACAGGGAGAUGGCCUGUGAUCAACAGCGCGGAAGUGAGCUAAGAGGUCCUGAAGGAGCACAACUGUACCCUUUUCAUAGUGCAAAUUCUGAACCAGUUCAAAGAGAAGGUGUAGAAGCAAGGCAGACAGGGAUAACAACACUACCUGCAUCACUGAAAAUCCUUGGAAAUGCAAAACGGUUCAUGCCUGUGGGUCAACAGGCAGAGCCUCCAAACCAUGCCAUGCCUACAAGACCCAAUACAGGUGACAGUUCCCGAGAGAAUGGCUAAUAUGCCACCUCUGCCUCCCAAGUACUGGGGUUACAGGCAGCCAUCAGCACACCAGUUAAUAUGUUGCUAGAGAUUGGCCAAGGUCUCAUGUACAUAGGCAAGUACUAGACCAAGUAAACUACAUCCUGACACCCUGCUCGUCUGGAGACAUAUCUCACUAUGGAAC